Molecule: ribosomal RNA, 463 nt
Filed under: uncultured Actinomycetes bacterium
Lineage: Bacteria; Bacillati; Actinomycetota; Actinomycetes
Description: bacterial SSU rRNA
Rfam family: Bacterial small subunit ribosomal RNA
Source: RNAcentral
GACGAACGCUGGCGGCGUGCUUAACACAUGCAAGUCGAACGGUGAACCAGAGCUUGCUCUGGGGAUCAGUGGCGAACGGGUGAGUAACACGUGGGCAACCUGCCCCAGACUCUGGGAUAACCCCGGGAAACCGGAGCUAAUACCGGAUAUGACCACUUCGGACAUCCGAUGGUGGUGGAAAGUUUUUCGGUCUGGGAUGGGCCCGCGGCCUAUCAGCUAGUUGGUGGGGUAAUGGCCUACCAAGGCGACGACGGGUAGCCGGCCUGAGAGGGCGACCGGCCACACUGGAACUGAGACACGGUCCAGACUCCUACGGGAGGCAGCAGUGGGGAAUAUUGCACAAUGGGCGAAAGCCUGAUGCAGCGACGCCGCGUGAGGGACGACGGCCUUCGGGUUGUAAACCUCUUUCAGCAGGGACGAAGCGAAAGUGACUGUACCUGCAAAAGAAGCACCGGCUAACUAC